CCUACGGGGGGCAGCAGUAGGGAAUAUUGCUCAAUGGGGGAAACCCUGAAGCAGCAACGCCGCGUGGAGGAUGAAGGUGUUAGGAGUGGAAACUCCUUUUGAGAGAGAAGAGAAUGACGGUAGGUGACGAAUAAGGACCGGAUAACGCGGUGCCAGCAGCCGCGGUAAUACGGAGGGUGCACGGGUUACUCGGAAUCACUGGGCGGAAAGCGGGCGUAGGGGGGCUUGUAAGUCAGAUGUGCAAUCCUGUAGCUUAACGACAGAACUGCAUGUGAAACUAUGAGUCUAGAGUGUGGGAGAGGUAGGUGGAAUUCUUGGUGUAGCGGUCAAAUCCGUAGAUAUCACGAG
RNAcentral lists this ribosomal RNA (348 nucleotides) under uncultured bacterium. RNAcentral describes it as "partial 16S ribosomal RNA". It matches the Rfam family "Bacterial small subunit ribosomal RNA", at positions 338 to 703 of the family's 1533-position model. The record is from RNAcentral.